UUUGGUUAAGUUAGAAAGGGCGCACGGUGGAUGCCUUGACACUAGGAGUCGAUGAAGGACGGGACUAACGCCGAUAUGCUUCGGGGAGCUGUAAGUAAGCUUUGAUCCGAAGAUUUCCGAAUGGGGAAACCCACCAUACGUAAUGGUAUGGUAUCCUUAUCUGAAUACAUAGGGUAAGGAAGACAGACCCAGGGAACUGAAACAUCUAAGUACCUGGAGGAAGAGAAAGCAAAUGCGAUUUCCUGAGUAGCGGCGAGCGAAACGGAACAUAGCCCAAACCAAGAGGCUUGCCUCUUGGGGUUGUAGGACAUUCUAUACGGAGUUACAAAGGAACGAGGUAGACGAAGCGACCUGGAAAGGUCCGUCGUAGAGGGUAACAACCCCGUAGUCGAAACUUCGUUCUCUCUUGAAUGUAUCCUGAGUACGGCGGAACACGUGAAAUUCCGUCGGAAUCUGGGAGGACCAUCUCCCAAGGCUAAAUACUCCCUAGUGAUCGAUAGUGAACCAGUACCGUGAGGGAAAGGUGAAAAGCACCCCGGAAGGGGAGUGAAAGAGAUCCUGAAACCGUGUGCCUACAAAUAGUCAGAGCCCGUUAACGGGUGAUGGCGUGCCUUUUGUAGAAUGAACCGGCGAGUUACGAUCCCGUGCGAGGUUAAGCUGAAGAGGCGGAGCCGCAGCGAAAGCGAGUCUGAAUAGGGCGUUUAGUACGUGGUCGUAGACCCGAAACCAGGUGAUCUACCCAUGUCCAGGGUGAAGUUCAGGUAACACUGAAUGGAGGCCCGAACCCACGCACGUUGAAAAGUGCGGGGAUGAGGUGUGGGUAGCGGAGAAAUUCCAAUCGAACCUGGAGAUAGCUGGUUCUCCCCGAAAUAGCUUUAGGGCUAGCCUUAAGUGUAAGAGUCUUGGAGGUAGAGCACUGAUUGGACUAGGGGUCCUCAUCGGAUUACCGAAUUCAGUCAAACUCCGAAUGCCAAUGACUUAUCCUUAGGAGUCAGACUGCGAGUGAUAAGAUCCGUAGUCAAAAGGGAAACAGCCCAGACCGCCAGCUAAGGUCCCAAAGUGUGUAUUAAGUGGAAAAGGAUGUGGAGUUGCUUAGACAACUAGGAUGUUGGCUUAGAAGCAGCCACCAUUUAAAGAGUGCGUAAUAGCUCACUAGUCGAGUGACUCUGCGCCGAAAAUGUACCGGGGCUAAAUACACCACCGAAGCUGCGGAUUGAUACCGAAUGGUAUCAGUGGUAGGGGAGCGUUCUAAGGACAGUGAAGUCAGACCGGAAGGACUGGUGGAGUGCUUAGAAGUGAGAAUGCCGGUAUGAGUAGCGAAAGACGGGUGAGAAUCCCGUCCACCGAAUGCCUAAGGUUUCCUGAGGAAGGCUCGUCCGCUCAGGGUUAGUCAGGACCUAAGCCGAGGCCGACAGGCGUAGGCGAUGGACAACAGGUUGAUAUUCCUGUACCACCUCUUUAUCGUUUGAGCAAUGGAGGGACGCAGAAGGAUAGAAGAAGCGUGCGAUUGGUUGUGCACGUCCAAGCAGUUAGGCUGAUAAGUAGGCAAAUCCGCUUAUCGUAAAGGCUGAGCUGUGAUGGGGAAGCUCCUUAUGGAGCGAAGUCUUUGAUUCCCCGCUGCCAAGAAAAGCUUCUAGCGAGAUAAAAGGUGCCUGUACCGCAAACCGACACAGGUAGGCGAGGAGAGAAUCCUAAGGUGUGCGAGAGAACUCUGGUUAAGGAACUCGGCAAAAUGACCCCGUAACUUCGGGAGAAGGGGUGCUUUCUUAACGGAAAGCCGCAGUGAAUAGGCCCAAGCGACUGUUUAGCAAAAACACAGCUCUCUGCGAAGCCGUAAGGCGAAGUAUAGGGGUGACACCUGCCCGGUGCUGGAAGGUUAAGGAGAGGGGUUAGCGUAAGCGAAGCUCUGAACUGAAGCCCCAGUAAACGGCGGCCGUAACUAUAACGGUCCUAAGGUAGCGAAAUUCCUUGUCGGGUAAGUUCCGACCCGCACGAAAGGUGUAACGAUUUGGGCACUGUCUCAACCAGAGACUCGGUGAAAUUAUAGUACCUGUGAAGAUGCAGGUUACCCGCGACAGGACGGAAAGACCCCGUGGAGCUUUACUGUAGCCUGAUAUUGAAUUUUGGUACAGUUUGUACAGGAUAGGCGGGAGCCUUUGAAACCGGAGCGCUAGCUUCGGUGGAGGCGCUGGUGGGAUACCGCCCUGACUGUAUUGAAAUUCUAACCUACGGGUCUUAUCGACCCGGGAGACAGUGUCAGGUGGGCAGUUUGACUGGGGCGGUCGCCUCCUAAAGUGUAACGGAGGCGCCCAAAGGUUCCCUCAGAAUGGUUGGAAAUCAUUCGUAGAGUGCAAAGGCAUAAGGGAGCUUGACUGCGAGACCUACAAGUCGAGCAGGGACGAAAGUCGGGCUUAGUGAUCCGGUGGUUCCGCAUGGAAGGGCCAUCGCUCAACGGAUAAAAGCUACCCCGGGGAUAACAGGCUUAUCUCCCCCAAGAGUCCACAUCGACGGGGAGGUUUGGCACCUCGAUGUCGGCUCAUCGCAUCCUGGGGCUGUAGUCGGUCCCAAGGGUUGGGCUGUUCGCCCAUUAAAGCGGUACGCGAGCUGGGUUCAGAACGUCGUGAGACAGUUCGGUCCCUAUCCGUCGUGGGCGUAGGAAAUUUGAGAGGAGCUGUCCUUAGUACGAGAGGACCGGGAUGGACGCACCGCUGGUGUACCAGUUGUUCUGCCAAGGGCAUAGCUGGGUAGCUAUGUGCGGAAGGGAUAAGUGCUGAAAGCAUCUAAGCAUGAAGCCCCCCUCAAGAUGAGAUUUCCCAUAGCGUAAGCUAGUAAGAUCCCUGAAAGAUGAUCAGGUUGAUAGGUUCGAGGUGGAAGCAUGGUGACAUGUGGAGCUGACGAAUACUAAUAGAUCGAGGACUUAACCAUAUAA
This 2929-nucleotide ribosomal RNA is filed under the name Bacillus paranthracis. RNAcentral's name for it is "23S ribosomal RNA". It matches the Rfam family "Bacterial large subunit ribosomal RNA". The record is from RNAcentral. Lineage: Bacteria; Bacillati; Bacillota; Bacilli; Caryophanales; Bacillaceae.